RNAcentral lists this ribosomal RNA (370 nucleotides) under uncultured organism. RNAcentral describes it as "bacterial SSU rRNA". It matches the Rfam family "Bacterial small subunit ribosomal RNA", at positions 526 to 896 of the family's 1533-position model. The record is from RNAcentral.
CGUAGGGUGCGAGCGUUAAUCGGAAUUACUGGGCGUAAAGCGUGCGCAGGCGGUUUUGUAAGACAGAUGUGAAAUCCCCGGGCUCAACCUGGGACCUGCAUUUGUGACUGCAAGGCUAGAGUACGGUAGAGGGGGAUGGAAUUCCGCGUGUAGCAGUGAAAUGCGUAGAUAUGCGGAGGAACACCGAUGGCGAAGGCAAUCCCCUGGGCCUGCACUGACGCUCAUGCACGAAAGCGUGGGGAGCAAACAGGAUUAGAUACCCUGGUAGUCCACGCCCUAAACGAUGUCAACUGGUUGUUGGGUCUCUUCUGACUCAGUAACGAAGCUAACGCGUGAAGUUGACCGCCUGGGGAGUACGGCCGCAAGGUUG